GCGCUCGUAGCUCAACUGGAUAGAGUGUCUGACUACGAAUCAGAAGGUUGGGGGUUCGAGCCCCUCCGGGCGCACCA
RNAcentral lists this transfer RNA (77 nucleotides) under Clostridioides sp. Its description in RNAcentral is "tRNA-Arg". It matches the Rfam family "tRNA". From Rfam's summary of the family: Transfer RNA (tRNA) molecules are approximately 80 nucleotides in length. Their secondary structure includes four short double-helical elements and three loops (D, anti-codon, and T loops). Lineage: Bacteria; Bacillati; Bacillota; Clostridia; Peptostreptococcales; Peptostreptococcaceae. The record is from RNAcentral.